UACGAAGGGGGCUAGCGUUGCUCGGAAUUACUGGGCGUAAAGCGCACGUAGGCGGUCUUUUUAAGUCGGGGGUGAAAUCCUGGAGCUCAACUCCAGAACUGCCUUCGAUACUGGAAGACUCGAGUCCGGGAGAGGUGAGUGGAACUGCGAGUGUAGAGGUGAAAUUCGUAGAUAUUCGGAAGAAACACCAGUGGCGAAGGCGACACACUGGGCCAUUACUGACGCUG
RNAcentral lists this ribosomal RNA (227 nucleotides) under uncultured bacterium. RNAcentral's name for it is "partial 16S ribosomal RNA". It matches the Rfam family "Bacterial small subunit ribosomal RNA", at positions 524 to 748 of the family's 1533-position model. The record is from RNAcentral.